UGGGCAGAGAGUUUCUGUUCGGGAAAAUGAAAAUAUUCUGAAAAUGAAUAGUGGCAAUGGCUGCUAACACGAUGAAUGUACUUAAUGGCACUGAACUGUACAAUUUAAGUGGUUAAAUGACAAGUUUUAUCUUAUGUGUAUUUUAACACAAUAAUACAAAAGCGUGUUUUGCCGUUUCCCAUCCCUGGGCACCAUGACAGCAGAUGACCAGGAAGCCAAUAUGGUGAAUGAGCCUGGCAAAGGCUGGCUUCUCCAGCUCAGUACACGUGUAAAUGGAGCCUUCAUGGCGCCAAGAAUUAGUCCAUGUGGAAUUUCAGUAUCUUGGGCAGGGCUCCUGGAAGGCAAACCCACUAAAUAAUUGUGACCGGAGGAGUGAGGAAGCGUUGGAGAGACUCUUCCCUUUAACCUUGAAAGUCCAUCAGAUCAGAGAAGUGAGGUUCAAUAAGUCACCCAAGAAGAGAUCUAUAGAGUUCUUAACACUGCUUUUUGCAAACUUGAAGAGUUACUACAUAUUUGGUGUGGUUUACACAGUGGAUGUUAAAACACCGCCCCCAGG
RNAcentral lists this long non-coding RNA (556 nucleotides) under Fukomys damarensis (Damara mole-rat). RNAcentral describes it as "lncRNA (ENSFDAG00000023409.1)". Lineage: Eukaryota; Metazoa; Chordata; Mammalia; Rodentia; Bathyergidae. The record is from RNAcentral.